Long non-coding RNA from Camellia sinensis, 198 nucleotides. RefSeq lists it as uncharacterized. The record is from RefSeq and is a predicted model, not a curated record. Lineage: Eukaryota; Viridiplantae; Streptophyta; Magnoliopsida; Ericales; Theaceae.
CAUAAUUUGUCUCGUUCAUGAUAUCUUUUGUCUAUCAAUCUGUAUCGCAAAAAAAAUAAUAUAAUAAUAACAUGAAAAAAAUAAUAUAACCACCAAGAGCCCGUGUUGUAGAAGAACAGGCGGCCUGUCAGGUUUCUUGCCAGAGCGGCCCACCGGAAUCCUCUGCAUGCCAAGAAUAUAACCAUCCUUCUUUGUUAC